GGUAUAACCAAGUAUCAAACGCAUGGAGGAAAUCUAAACCUCCACCAAACACACCUGAAGAAGCUUCGAGGCUUGUAAGUCACACCCUACAGCGACACCCAACACCCGAUAUGGAGGGCUUAUGACCGUUCUACGUUCUCCGUCUUCCACAUCUUCUGGUUGAUGCGCCUUCACUCGUUGACGGGAUCAAGUUUGAGUUGCACACGCUUCCGGUGGAUGCAAAGGCAGUAGCAGAUGGGGAUACUGUAACAGUCUAUGUUAGUACCUCGGAUGCCCGGGAGUCAUCGCGUGUUCCCCAAGAGGUACAAAUGGCUGCGGUUGAACGUAUUGAAGCACUGACUGAAAGGAACUACACCAAAGCAGAUUCAUUGCAAAAACGAAUCACAGAUGUAGAACUUUUAGGUUUUUUACAAGGGUAAAGAAGAUACAGGGGCAUUUUAGUCUUUUAACAGAAAACUAACAGAAAAUAUGGAUGGUGUUAGAAAUUUGGACUCAAAUGGUUAAGGAAAAUGCUUAUAGGGACUCAGGUCGUUAAACUUUUUGCUUUUGUACUCAACUAGUUAAAAUCCAUAAAACACAGGGACUCAAAAAGUAAUUUACCCUACUUUUUUUGUUUAGUGAGUUUCUUUUAAAUCACGCGCACAAAACAUUUUAUAGGUCUUUGAUCUUGCAAAAGCCAUACGUGUACAAGUUAUAAAUUUACAUUUUGAUUAAAAAUGACGGAGCCAAUUGGACAAAUAUUACAGAGAACAAAGGUUAGGAUUUUACAUUUUGAUUAAAAAACAUUUAUAUUUCAUUGUUGGCUUUCUUUCAAGAUCAUUCAUUAAUUUGUUUUUUUUUUAAUAUUUUUUGUAAAAACCUUGAAAUAGAAGUCUUGAACUUCAAGUCAUUCAAAACAAGAGUUUUAGUAAAAUAUUAUGAACUAAGAAAUGAAAUAGAAAAGUGUGGAAAUCAAUGAUACUUGAAAAGAAUUGU
Molecule: long non-coding RNA, 975 nt
Filed under: Helianthus annuus (common sunflower)
Lineage: Eukaryota; Viridiplantae; Streptophyta; Magnoliopsida; Asterales; Asteraceae
Description: hypothetical non coding rna
Source: RNAcentral